This is a long non-coding RNA of Canis lupus familiaris (dog), 1361 nucleotides long. RefSeq lists it as uncharacterized. The record is from RefSeq and is a predicted model, not a curated record. NCBI's taxonomy places the organism in Eukaryota, Metazoa, Chordata, Mammalia, Carnivora, Canidae. The transcript is spliced from 3 exons.
UGACCUGGAGGAGGACGCGCGGCUGAUCGAGCUCGGGGACUGCCCGACGAGCCCUGCCGCGGCCGCGGCCAAUCCCUCGGCCGGACGCUGGUCCGCUGCGGUCGGCGGAGCGCCUCGGUGCCGCUCUAUUCUGAGACGGUAGCUGUGGCGCCGGAGGAGGCAGCGCCGGGCGUCUCGCCGCCGGGCUCCGUAAAGGUCGUCGGGCCCGGGCCGGCCCGUCCCCCUUUGGCCUUUCCACCAGCAAAAUCCCAUUUGCAGUGUUGCACACCCUCUGCCGCUUUCGGAGGAGCAGGGUGGAGAGGAGUCCCUUAGUAAGGUGUAGAGCGUACGGCCUUUCGGAUUGUUGAGGUCUGAGAACGCCUAAGAGGCGCCGAUUUGGGCUGAACGUUUGAGGCGUAUGCUAUUCCUGAGGUGAUGGUUUGUGGACUCUGCAGCAGCCUUCUCAGAGGUGCGGGGCCGGGGCCGUAGAAACCGUAGAAACCGCAGAACCGCUUCUCGGUUCCCGCCCUGCCCCUACCCGGGGCAGCGGAUCCCCGGGGGCAGUUCACUCCCGGAUGCGGAACGCCUUACUCUGCAAAAUGGAGACGAUGUCUAGUGCCCAGUGCCUUGGAGAAAUCAGGGCGUCGAUACCGAUGGACCACUGUGAAACAAAGACUGGCAUUUAACAAUGUUUAAAUCUUAUUUAACCCUUCGUGGUUCCGCUGAAGGUUUGGAGCAGCUGAAGGGUUUUAAAUGAAGGAUGCAGAUAACCUAAAGUUAGAAUUCCCUGGUCUUGGAAGGACCUCGGUAUCCUAAUGGCAUUGGUAUCCACCAACCCAUAUCCUUUUUCAGCAGAAAUGGCAACCCUGCACUAACCAACAUCUCCCUGGCCCUCUCUCUCUUCUUUUCUCUCUUUAUAUAAUACUUUUAGUUAUCUCUGUUUCCUAACCUAUACCUUCAGGACCACCUUCUACUCCUCAACUAUUUAUCAAAGUAUUUUCCUACACAAAGAAAGCACUUGGCCCAAGAGGAACUGUAGUGCCAGCUAUCAAAAUCAUGUUUCAACUCGGUCUUCUUUGUGAUUUAUGUGCGUAAAUGAUGACUUAUGUGAAUCAUUCCUAAAUGGUUAACUAUUGAAGCAAACCGUUCAUCAUCCAGUUCUCUGCAAUACCCUUGCCUUAUGUUCACCAGGCUGCUUCCUCUUUUCUCAAAUCCCACCACAAAUUUCACGUCUUCAAGAAGCCCUCGCUGAUAGCUACAAUGAAGACUUCUAACAGCCUUUAUUCAUCCUUGUCUCUGUCCCUUUUCCCCAUCUCUCCGGUUAACUGUUGUCAUUAUCUGACAGUGAAGUCACAAUGAAAUAAAGGACAGCAAUCUCCUAA